GUGGUGGCGUCCUCCUCCAACGUUGGUCCGUGUUUGUCUCUAUGGCGCUCUCGAAUGCCUAAGCCAAGGCCGACCGCCUCGAGCUGGUGCUCGACGAAACGCCCCGCAGGACCGAGUUCUCGUAGACCAUGCUCGUCGAUUCGCUGGCGAGGGCCGGCCGACAGCACGACGCAUUCUGCCUCUCUGCGGAGAUGCGGGCCUCCAGCGUGGCCUGCGACUCCCACGUCUGCGUAUGUCACUAUGGGAAGAGCUACAUCUUCAUCGUAAAUUAUGUGCAAAGCAACAUAUAAAGGUGAUCAUCACUUCCGACGAUUAAAGUACCAGUGUGCAGAGGAGGCAUGUAGGUGAUGCUUUUCAAAAUAACAAGUACUUAAUGAGAAAUGGAAAGGUCCAACCGAUACAAUUGAAUAGUUACCCAAAAGGUGCUGCCGACACCACCAUCUUGCUCUUUAUCUUCAGUAUCUGCAACUUUUUUGGCUGACUGGGGGAGGUGUUCUUAUUCCUGAGUCCCUUAGCUGAGGGUGAAAGGGCUAUAAAGCCAAGAAGAGGAAGAAGGGGUGAAGAAUUCAGGUUUUCGGAAGCAAUACUGAAGACUAUUUUUUGGUUUCUCUUUGCAAUAUGCUCUAUUGGGAUUGGAUUUUCAAUCACUGUUAUUAAUAAUCUAACACAAAUAUGAGUUGUUGCAUGUCAUGUCGACACAAC
Molecule: RNA transcript, 702 nt
Organism: Zea mays
Lineage: Eukaryota; Viridiplantae; Streptophyta; Magnoliopsida; Poales; Poaceae
Source: RefSeq, marked validated